Non-coding RNA from Proteus mirabilis, 115 nucleotides. NCBI's taxonomy places the organism in Bacteria, Pseudomonadati, Pseudomonadota, Gammaproteobacteria, Enterobacterales, Morganellaceae. The record is from Rfam.
UGUAUUCCUUAUCUGUUAUCUGUUUCUAAUGGUUAUAGGAGCCUAUCUUCCCGUGAUACCACGGGGAUAUGACGGGAAGAUAGGCCCUGCUGUUAUUACCGCUACCCCUGAAUAU